UCCAGUGUUUAGCAAGUGGAUGUGUGAGU
This 29-nucleotide non-coding RNA is filed under the name Rattus norvegicus (Norway rat). Lineage: Eukaryota; Metazoa; Chordata; Mammalia; Rodentia; Muridae. The record is from RNAcentral.